RNAcentral lists this ribosomal RNA (493 nucleotides) under uncultured bacterium. RNAcentral describes it as "partial 16S ribosomal RNA". It matches the Rfam family "Bacterial small subunit ribosomal RNA", at positions 29 to 523 of the family's 1533-position model. The record is from RNAcentral.
AUUGAACGCUGGCGGCAUGCUUUACACAUGCAAGUCGAACGGUAACAGGUUAAGCUGACGAGUGGCGAACGGGUGAGUAAUGCAUCGGAACGUGCCCGGUCGUGGGGGAUAACGCAGCGAAAGCUGCGCUAAUACCGCAUACGAUCUGAGGAUGAAAGCGGGGGACCGUAAGGCCUCGCGCGAUCGGAGCGGCCGAUGUCAGAUUAGGUAGUUGGUGGGGUAAAGGCGCACCAAGCCAACGAUCUGUAGCUGGUCAGAGAGGACGACCAGCCACACGGGGACUGAGACACGGCCGAGACUCCUACGGGAGGCAGCAGUGGGGAAUUUUGGACAAUGGGCGAAUGCCUGAUCCAGCAAUGCCGCGUGCAGGAAGAAGGCCUUCGGGUUGUAAACUGCUUUUGUACGGAGCGAAAAGGUCUCCUCUAAUACAGGGGGCUCAUGACGGUACCGUAAGAAUAAGCACCGGCUAACUACGUGCCAGCAGCCGCCGUAA